CGGUGUGUAGCGCAGCCUGGUAGCGCACUUCGUUCGGGACGAAGGGGUCGGAGGUUCAAAUCCUCUCACACCGACCA
This 77-nucleotide transfer RNA is filed under the name Simiduia sp. Its description in RNAcentral is "tRNA-Pro". It matches the Rfam family "tRNA". From Rfam's summary of the family: Transfer RNA (tRNA) molecules are approximately 80 nucleotides in length. The record is from RNAcentral. RNAcentral also lists the same sequence under 3 other names. Lineage: Bacteria; Pseudomonadati; Pseudomonadota; Gammaproteobacteria; Cellvibrionales; Cellvibrionaceae.